AGCUGGAACUCAGGUUUGCAGAGGGAGCCCAAACCAACCUAGGCUGAGAUGCUGUUCCUCCUGAGAUAAACCUAACCCCGCACAGAUUCCCGGCUGGCUGGCAGAUGUCUAUGCUUAGCGUGAACGAUUAAGCGACUCACUGCGCUCCGGGGAUUGUCACAAUGCUGGGCCGGGGCAAACGGCACGGACGGACUCAACUCCCAGGGUGCGCUAUCGGCUCCAGCCGGAGCCUGACUCGACCUGCAAACCCACCGCUCCGCUGCACGCGAACAGCCUCCGCCGGCCAAGUGCACCCCCAGCUGCGCCCCAACUUUGCCUUGUGUGGUCCCAAACUUUCCCUGGUGGGUUCACAGGAAAAUAAAACUAAAGGACAGACGCCUCACUAGAGAGCCGGGAGCUGGGAUGCAGCGUGGGGAGGGGCUUGGCCGGCAUCUCCCAGAAUCGCUGGUGGGUAGCUGGGGAAGGGGAGCGUCCCUCUUAGCGCCUCCCCGACAGCAGGCCCCCCACCCCGAGCCGGAAGCAGGGCGGUUUGGGUGGGAGAAGCAGGGGGUGCUCAGAAGCCGCACCCGGGAGCUGAGAGAGUUGGCUAACUCCUUUCGGGGCCUGGGGCGCCCACGUCCUCCGUGAAGCCACCUGUGAGUCUGCCGCCGGAUGCACGCCAUCCGGAUCCAGGGACCCCGACCUCUGCGGCCCCCGAGCCCGGCGGCUGGUCUGGGUUCGGCCGCCCGCACUUACCGGGAUCCGCCAGGAAGACGCGCACACUGCGGGGGCCCGAGCGCGGCCCGCCGCUCCGGUCCUCCGCCUCCUCCGGCCCUCCGCCUCCUCGCUCCGAGGCCCGGGCUGCGGCUCGCACUCGCCGCCGCUCUCGCCGUCCGGGGCUGGGCUCGGGAGGAGACUAAGCCGCCGCGAGCCCCGCGCGCCGCCUCUGGUGCUGCCUGGCCCCCUCCGGCCCCUCCCUCUCGCCUCUGCGCGGGGAGCGUGGCCGCAGCGCGCUCGGCUCCCGCGCCCUCUGCUCCACGCCUCCUGGGCGCAGAGGCGACGCCGGCUGCGGUCUCUUAGGAGAUUUCUCCGCAGUGGGGACAGGGGUCAGGAUUUGCAGACGGGCAAGGACGAAGAGGAGAAAUCAUACAGGAGACAUCAGUCCUGGAGCCCUGUGCCCUCCUGUUGCCACAUGAGCCAACAGCUGCCCAGACCUGCUCCACGGGUAUCAUCCUGGGAAUUCUCUUUGUGUUGAGAGCCCUGUUUCCUCAAUCCUCUUUUCUUCUUUACUUUCCCUGCUAACUGGAGCACAGCCUCCUGUGUCUUCUGUGGAGUCCUGCCCCAAGGCCACAGUGUAAGGCCUUGCAUCAAGGCCACAGACAUGGAGCCCAGAACCAAGUUCACCUCCAAAACUGACUGAGCCUCUUUGUAACCAUUGCCAAAAGCCCCCAUGAUUAUCACCAGCAGGCUUCUCGAUCCCAUUUUAGACAAAAAUGCCCACACAGUGCUCACCCUAUAGCACCUUAACCAAUCACCUAAAGCCAGCCUUUCAGCAGGAAUUUUCUUUGUUUUGAGGCUGCAAAAACUAACCCGUGAAAACUGUCGACUUUCUCUAGUGGUCAGCUGUACUUGCAG
Bos taurus (domestic cattle) is the source of this 1614-nucleotide long non-coding RNA. The record is from Ensembl. Lineage: Eukaryota; Metazoa; Chordata; Mammalia; Artiodactyla; Bovidae.